CCCAGACUCCUACGGGAGGCAGCAGUGGGGGAUAUUGCACAAUGGGGGAAACCCUGAUGCAGCGACGCCGCGUGGGUGAAGAAGCGCCUCGGCGCGUAAAGCCCUGUCAGCAGGGAAGAAAAUGACGGUACCUGAAGAAGAAGCCCCGGCUAACUACGUGCCAGCAGCCGCGGUAAUACGUAGGGGGCAAGCGUUAUCCGGAUUUACUGGGGGUAAAGGGGGCGCAGACGGCGAUGCAAGCCAGGAGUGAAAGCCCGGGGCCCAACCCCGGGACUGCUCUUGGAACUGCGUGGCUGGAGUGCAGGAGGGGCAGGCGGAAUUCCUGGUGUAGCGGUGAAAUGCGUAGAUAUCAGGAGGAACACCGGUGGCGAAGGCGGCCUGCUGGACUGCAACUGACGUUGAGGCCCGAAAGCGUGGGGAGCAAACAGGAUUAGAUACCCCAGUACAU
RNAcentral lists this ribosomal RNA (448 nucleotides) under uncultured bacterium. RNAcentral describes it as "bacterial SSU rRNA". It matches the Rfam family "Bacterial small subunit ribosomal RNA", at positions 330 to 795 of the family's 1533-position model. The record is from RNAcentral.